AGCUACAGGCUUAACACAUGCAAGUCGAGGGGCAGCAUGGUCUUAGCUUGCUAAGGCCGAUGGCGACCGGCGCACGGGUGAGUAACGCGUAUCCAACCUGCCUUACACUCUUGGACAGCCUUCUGAAAGGGAGAUUAAUACAAGAUGUUAUCAUGAGUAAGCAUUUUCGCAUGAUUAAAGGUUUACCGGAGUAAGAUGGGGAUGCGUUCCAUUACAUACUAGGCGGGGUAACGGCCCUCCUAGUCUUCGAUGGAUAGGGGUUCUGAGAGGAAGGUCCCCCAGAUUGGAACUGACACACCCUCCCAACUCCUACGGGAGGCAGCAGUGAGGAAUAUUGGUCAAUGAACGAGAGUCUGAACCAACCAAGUAUCGUGAAGGAUGAAGGUUCUAUGGAUUGUAAACUUCUUUUAUACAGGAAUAAACGGAUCCACGUGUGGAUUUUUGCAUGUACCGUAUGAAUAAGGAUCGGCUAACUCCGUGCCAUCAGCCGCGGUAAUACAGAGGAUCCGAGCGUUAUCCGGAUUUAUUGGGUUUAAAGGGAGCGUAGAUGGGUUGUUAAGUCAGAUGUGAAAGUUUGCGGCUCAACCCUAAAAUUGCAAUUGAUACUGGUAGACUUGAGUACAGUUGAGGUAGGCGGAAUUCGUGGUGUAGCGGUGAAAUGCUUAGAUAUCACGAAGAACUCCGAUUGCGAAGGCAGCUUACUAACCUGUAACUGACAUUGAUGCUCGAAAGUGUGGGUAUCAAACAGGAUUAGAUACCCUGGUAGUCCACACGGUAAACGAUGAAUACUCGCUGUAGGCGAUAUACAGUCUGCGGCCAAGCGAAAGCAUUAAGUAUUCCACCUGGGGAGUACGCCGGCAACGGUGAAACUCAAAGGAAUUGACGGGGGCCCGCACAAGCGGAGGAACAUGUGGUUUAAUUCGAUGAUACGCGAGGAACCUUACCCGGGCUUAAAUUGCAACCGAAUAUGGCGGAAACGCUAUAGCUAGCAAUAGCGGUUGUGAAGGUGCUGCAUGGUUGUCGUCAGCUCGUGCCGUGAGGUGUCGGCUUAAGUGCCAUAACGAGCGCAACCCUUGCCGAUAGUUACUAACAGGUUAUGCUGAGGACUCUGUCGGGACUGCCAUCGUAAGAUGUGAGGAAGGUGGGGAUGACGUCAAAUCAGCACGGCCCUUACGUCCGGGGCUACACACGUGUUACAAUGGGGGGUACAGAGGGCUGCUACCACGCAAGUGGAUGCCAAUCCCAAAAACCUCUCUCAGUUCGGAUUGAAGUCUGCAACCCGACUUCAUGAAGCUGGAUUCGCUAGUAAUCGCGCAUCAGCCACGGCGCGGUGAAUACGUUCCCGGGCCUUGUACACACCGCCCGUCAAGCCAUGGGAGCCGGGGGUACCUGAAGUGCGUAACCGCAAGGAGCGCCCUAGGGUAAAACUGGAG
This 1433-nucleotide ribosomal RNA is filed under the name uncultured organism. RNAcentral describes it as "SSU rRNA". It matches the Rfam family "Bacterial small subunit ribosomal RNA". The record is from RNAcentral.